RNAcentral lists this ribosomal RNA (279 nucleotides) under uncultured Staphylococcus sp. RNAcentral describes it as "partial 16S ribosomal RNA". It matches the Rfam family "Bacterial small subunit ribosomal RNA", at positions 83 to 355 of the family's 1533-position model. Lineage: Bacteria; Bacillati; Bacillota; Bacilli; Caryophanales; Staphylococcaceae. The record is from RNAcentral.
CCUUUGACGUUAGCGGCGGACGGGUGAGUAACACGUGGGUAACCUACCUAUAAGACUGGGAUAACUUCGGGAAACCGGAGCUAAUACCGGAUAAUAUUUCGAACCGCAUGGUUCGAUAGUGAAAGGUGGUUUUGCUAUCACUUAUAGAUGGACCCGCGCCGUAUUAGCUAGUUGGUAGGGUAACGGCUUACCAAGGCGACGAUACGUAGCCGACCUGAGAGGGUGAUCGGCCACACUGGAACUGAGACACGGUCCAGACUCCUACGGGAGGCAGCAGCU